GCUUGCUUCUAUGACGUUAGCGGCGGACGGGUGAGUAACACGCUGGGCAACCUGCCUGUAAGACUGGGAUAACUUCGGGAAACCGAAGCUAAUACCGGAUAGGAUCUUCUCCUUCAUGGGAGAUGAUUGAAAGAUGGUUUCGGCUAUCACUUACAGAUGGGCCCGCGGUGCAUUAGCUAGUUGGUGAGGUAACGGCUCACCAAGGCAACGAUGCAUAGCCGACCUGAGAGGGUGAUCGGCCACACUGGGACUGAGACACGGCCCAGACUCCUACGGGAGGCAGCAGUAGGGAAUCUUCCGCAAUGGACGAAAGUCUGACGGAGCAACGCCGCGUGAGUGAUGAAGGCUUUCGGGUCGUAAAACAUCUAGUUUGUUAGGGAAGAACAAGUACGAGAGUAACUGCUCGUACCUUGACGGUACCUAACCAGAAAGCCACGGCUAACUACGUGCCAGCAGCCGCGGUUAAUACGUAGGUGGCAAGCGUUAUCCGGAAUUAUUGGGCGUAAAGCGCGCGCAGGCGGUUUCUUAAGUCUGAUGUGAAAGCCCACGGCUCAACCGUGGAGGGUCAUUGGAAACUGGGGAACUUGAGUGCAGAAGAGAAAAGCGGAAUUCCACGUGUAGCGGUGAAAUGCGUAGAGAUGUGGAGGAACACCAGUGGCGAAAGCGGCUUUUUGUUCUGUAACUGACGCUGAGGCGCGAAAAGCGUGGGGAGCAAACAGGAUUAGAUACCCUGGUAGUCCACGCCGUAAACGAUGAGUGCUAAGUGUUAGAGGGUUUCCGCCCUUUAGUGCUGCAGCUAACGCAUUAAGCACUCCGCCUGGGGAGUACGGUCGCAAGACUGAAACUCAAAGGAAUUGACGGGGGCCCGCACAAGCGGUGCAGCAUGUGGUUUAAUUCUAAGCAACGCGAAGAACCUUACGAGGUCUUGACAUCCUCUGACAACUCUAUAGAUAGAGGGUUCCCCUUCCGGGGACAGAAUGACAUGUGGUGCAUGCUUGUCGUCUACUCGUGUCAUGAGAUGUUGGGUUAAGUCCCGCAACGAGCGCGACCCUUGAUCUUAGUUGUCAAAAUUUAGUUGGGCACUCUAAUGUGACUGCCCGGUGACAAACCAGAAGAAAAGUGGGGAUGACCUCCAAUCGUCGUGCCCCUUAUUACCUGGGCUACUCACGUGCUAAAUGGAUUGCCCAAUUGGCUUCAGACCCCAGGU
Molecule: ribosomal RNA, 1207 nt
Filed under: Peribacillus simplex
Lineage: Bacteria; Bacillati; Bacillota; Bacilli; Caryophanales; Bacillaceae
Description: bacterial SSU rRNA
Rfam family: Bacterial small subunit ribosomal RNA
Source: RNAcentral